ACUUGUAUAGUUUAAAAAAACAUUACAUUUUCAAAGUAAAAAUAUUUAUAAUUACAAGUG
RNAcentral lists this transfer RNA (60 nucleotides) under Trixagus sp. TRI01. RNAcentral's name for it is "tRNA-Glu". The record is from RNAcentral. Lineage: Eukaryota; Metazoa; Arthropoda; Insecta; Coleoptera; Throscidae.